This 265-nucleotide unclassified non-coding RNA is filed under the name Hevea brasiliensis (rubber tree). Lineage: Eukaryota; Viridiplantae; Streptophyta; Magnoliopsida; Malpighiales; Euphorbiaceae. The record is from RNAcentral.
AGUUCCGAUUCCACCACCUUCACUAUCGUUAUCAUCAUCGUCAUUGGGAUUGUUAUUUCCGGAUUCCAUAUUUAACCCCGAGCUGUCCCUCUCUCUAUCUCUGACAUCCCUAUUGUCUCGAACCCUAACGUCGUGCUCUUUCUCCUUGCCUUUGUCGGAAGAUUCGCUUUUGUUACGACGGGAACGGGAUGAUGACUCGACAGGGGUAGUAGAGUCCAUGAGUGCAGGACAAGCGCGAGUAGAGCGAGUGCGAGCUGUGGCAAUG